This 512-nucleotide ribosomal RNA is filed under the name uncultured bacterium. RNAcentral describes it as "bacterial SSU rRNA". It matches the Rfam family "Bacterial small subunit ribosomal RNA", at positions 19 to 518 of the family's 1533-position model. The record is from RNAcentral.
CUGGCUCAGGAUGAACGCUAGCUACAGGCUUAACACAUGCAAGUCGCGGGGGCAGCAUGGAGGUUGCUUGCAAUCUCUGAUGGCGACCGGCGCACGGGUGAGUAACGCGUAUCCAACCUGGCCCUUAGUAGGGGAUAGCCCGGCGAAAGUCGGAUUAACACCCUAUGUUCUUCAAGGAUGGCAUCUGAUAUGAAGCAAAGGCUUGCCGCUAAGGGAUGGGGAUGCGUCUGAUUAGCUUGUCGGCGGGGUAACGGCCCACCGAGGCUACGAUCAGUAGGGGUUCUGAGAGGAAGGUCCCCCACAUUGGUACUGAGACACGGACCAAACUCCUACGGGAGGCAGCAGUGAGGAAUAUUGGUCAAUGGGCGAGAGCCUGAACCAGCCAAGUAGCGUGCAAGGAUGACUGCCCUAUGGGUUGUAAACUGCUUUUAUGCGGGAAUAAAGUCAGGUACGUGUACCUGUUUGUAUGUACCGCAUGAAUAAGGACCGGCUAAUUCCGUGCCAGCCGCUGC